Molecule: ribosomal RNA, 254 nt
Filed under: uncultured bacterium
Lineage: Bacteria
Description: partial 16S ribosomal RNA
Rfam family: Bacterial small subunit ribosomal RNA
Source: RNAcentral
UACGGAGGGGGCUAGCGUUGUUCGGAAUUACUGGGCGUAAAGCGCACGUAGGCGGCUUUGUAAGUUAGAGGUGAAAGCCCGGGGCUCAACUCCGGAACUGCCUUUAAGACUGCAUCGCUUGAAUCCAGGAGAGGUGAGUGGAAUUCCGAGUGUAGAGGUGAAAUUCGUAGAUAUUCGGAAGAACACCAGUGGCGAAGGCGGCUCACUGGAGCUGGUAUUGACGCUGAGGUGCGAAAGCGUGGGGAGCAAACAGG